UUCCGUAGGGGUGACCUGCGGAGGGAUCAUUGCUGGAACGCGCCCCAGGCGCACCCAGAAACCCUUUGUGAACUUAUACCUUACUGUUGCCUCGGCGCAUGCUGGCCCCCUCGGGGUCCCUCGGAGACAAGGAGCAGGCACGCCGGCGGCCAAGUUAACUCUUGUUUUUACACUGAAACUCUGAGAAAAAACACAAAUGAAUCAAAACUUUCAACAACGGAUCUCUUGGUUCUGGCAUCGAUGAAGAACGCAGCGAAAUGCGAUAAGUAAUGUGAAUUGCAGAAUUCAGUGAAUCAUCGAAUCUUUGAACGCACAUUGCGCCCUCUGGUAUUCCGGAGGGCAUGCCUGUUCGAGCGUCAUUUCAACCCUCAAGCAUUGCUUGGUGUUGGGGCACUGCCUGUAAAAGGGCAGGCCCUGAAAUCUAGUGGCGAGCUCGCCAGGACCCCGAGCGCAGUAGUUAAACCCUCGCUCUGGAAGGCCCUGGCGGUGCCCUGCCGUUAAACCCCCAACUUCUGAAAAUUGACCUCGGAUCAGGCUCGUAGGCAACUGGC
Molecule: ribosomal RNA, 551 nt
Filed under: Diaporthe sp. EF8
Lineage: Eukaryota; Fungi; Ascomycota; Sordariomycetes; Diaporthales; Diaporthaceae
Description: eukaryotic LSU rRNA
Rfam family: 5.8S ribosomal RNA (bases 206-359)
Source: RNAcentral